This 651-nucleotide ribosomal RNA is filed under the name uncultured bacterium. Its description in RNAcentral is "bacterial SSU rRNA". It matches the Rfam family "Bacterial small subunit ribosomal RNA", at positions 8 to 669 of the family's 1533-position model. The record is from RNAcentral.
AGAGUUUGAUCCUGGCUCAGGAUGAACGCUAGCGGCAGGCCUAAUACAUGCAAGUCGAACGGUGUAGCAAUACAUAGUGGCGCACGGGUGCGUAACACGUAUGCAACCUACCUUAUACUGGGGGAUAGCCUUUGGAAACGGAGAUUAAUACCCCAUAGUACAUUUGAUUGGCAUCAAUUAAAUGUUAAAGAUUUAUCGGCAUAAGCUGGGCAUGCGUCCAAUUAGUUAGUUGGUGAGGUAAUGGCUCACCAAGACUUUGAUUGGUAGGGGAACUGAGAGGUUAAUCCCCCACACUGGCACUGAGAUACGGGCCAGACUCCUACGGGAGGCAGCAGUAGGGAAUAUUGGGCAAUGGAGGCAACUCUGACCCAGCCAUGCCGCGUGCAGGAAGAAGGCGUUAUGCGUUGUAAACUGCUUUUAUAUAGGAAGAAAUAGUCCUUGCGAGGAAAGUUGACGGUACUAUAUGAAUAAGCACCGGCUAACUCCGUGCCAGCAGCCGCGGUAAUACGGAGGGUGCAAGCGUUGUCCGGAUUUAUUGGGUUUAAAGGGUGCGUAGGCGGUUUAUUAAGUCAGUGGUGAAAGACGGUCGCUCAACGAUUGCAGUGCCAUUGAUACUGGUAGACUUGAGUGGGAUUGAGGUAGCUGGAAUGG